UCGCGGAGAUUCAGGGGCACGCUAAUAACGCAGCGCUGGAGGCAAAGAACUACGACUCCCGAAAGGCCAGAGCAGAAGGUUCGCUGGCCCAUAAGGGAAUCCGCGGACUUCGGUGCCGCAUGCUAAAGACUCCCGCGAGUUUAGAGAGGUUUCCUCUCGCGCCCUCCGCUGGAGAAAUGGAGAGUUCCGCAGAGGCGACCUGUAUUCCCCCAGCUGGAGAACAGGGGGAAAAGGCUUAAGGAAGGCAAUGAAGGCAGCAACCAGAGGGAAGAAAAUGUUGCUGCACCCAACACAUUAAGCAGUUGGAGUGGGAUAUUUGCCUACAAUGAAAUGAAGCAUAGCCGGAGAACCAGACAGCGCUACUUGACUUGGCACAAGAAUGUUAGAUCUUUUUGGAUUUCUAAUUUUGAAUAAUGCCCACCCAUGAUCUCCACCCAAAAGAUAGAAAUCAGUGGAGCUCCUUUUCUCCAAGAUAAGAACAAGUUCCUUGUGAAGGUCCUUCUCAGCAAUGGA
Thamnophis sirtalis is the source of this 513-nucleotide non-coding RNA. The record is from RefSeq and is a predicted model, not a curated record. Lineage: Eukaryota; Metazoa; Chordata; Lepidosauria; Squamata; Natricidae.